AGCGAACGUUAGCGGCGGGCCUAACACAUGCAAGUCGAACGCGAAAGGUCUUCGGACUGAGUAGAGUGGCGCACGGGUGAGUAACACGUAGGUAAUCUACCCUUUGGCGGGGGAUAACGUUCCGAAAGGAGCGCUAAUACCGCAUAAGACCACGGAGUCUCCGGACGCUGUGGGAAAAGGUGGCCUCUUCUUGAAAGCUACCACCGAAGGAUGAGCCUGCGUCCCAUCAGCUAGUUGGUAAGGUAAUGGCUUACCAAGGCGAAGACGGGUAGCUGGUUUGAGAGAAUGAUCAGCCACACUGGCACUGGAACACGGGCCAGACUCCUACGGGAGGCAGCAGUGAGGAAUAUUGCGCAAUGGGCGAAAGCCUGACGCAGCGACGCCGCGUGGGGGAUGAAGGUUUUCGGAUUGUAAACCCCUUUCAUGAGGAAAGAUAAAGUGGGUAACCACUUAGACGGUACCUCAAGAAGAAGCCACGGCUAACUUCGUGCCAGCAGCCGCGGU
Molecule: ribosomal RNA, 504 nt
Filed under: uncultured bacterium
Lineage: Bacteria
Description: bacterial SSU rRNA
Rfam family: Bacterial small subunit ribosomal RNA
Source: RNAcentral